UGGGGAAUAUUGCACAAUGGGCGCAAGCCUGAUGCAGCCAUGCCGCGUGUAUGAAGAAGGCCUUCGGGUUGUAAAGUACUUUCAGUCGGGAGGAAGGUGGUAAGGUUAAUAACCUUAUCAAUUGACGUUACCGACAGAAGAAGCACCGGCUAACUCCGUGCCAGCAGCCGCGGUAAUACGGAGGGUGCAAGCGUUAAUCGGAAUUACUGGGCGUAAAGCGCACGCAGGCGGUUGAUUGAGUCAGAUGUGAAAUCCCCGGGCUUAACCCGGGAAUUGCAUCUGAUACUGGUCAGCUAGAGUCUUGUAGAGGGGGGUAGAAUUCCAUGUGGAGCGGUGAAAUGCGUAGAGAUGUGGAGGAAUACCGGUGGCGAAGGCGGCCCCCUGGACAAAGACUGACGCUCAGGUGCGAAAGCGUGGGGAGCAAACAGG
RNAcentral lists this ribosomal RNA (429 nucleotides) under Chloroflexota bacterium. RNAcentral describes it as "Chloroflexi bacterium partial 16S ribosomal RNA". It matches the Rfam family "Bacterial small subunit ribosomal RNA", at positions 355 to 776 of the family's 1533-position model. The record is from RNAcentral. Lineage: Bacteria; Bacillati; Chloroflexota.